This is a long non-coding RNA of Bubalus bubalis (water buffalo), 1152 nucleotides long. RefSeq lists it as uncharacterized. Lineage: Eukaryota; Metazoa; Chordata; Mammalia; Artiodactyla; Bovidae. The transcript has 2 exons. The record is from RefSeq and is a predicted model, not a curated record.
AGUCACUAGAAAAUCUGCACGCAAUCCUACCUGGAAUCAGCUUGCAGCAUGCUAGUUGCCCCACCAGAGAUUGAAUGUGGGCCCCGGCAGUGAAAGCACCAAGACCUGACUACUGGGCCAUCAGGGAAUUCUCCAAUGCCAACAUUUUAAGUACCAUCUCACUUAAACUUUACAUAUACUCUUUGAAGCCCUUUCUCAAAUCCAUCUAGUGAUCACUGACAAAAAGUAGUCAAAUCCAUGUCUGUCUUGAUAUGACCAUUUUUAAGGAAGCCAAGUAAAGGAAAUGGAUUCAAAGGUAAGCCAAAGAGGGCUCAUUUUAGACACGUGCACAAAAAUAAUUUAAUAGAGGACCAAUUAUGUCUAUAUAGAUUAAUUCAGUUCAGUUCAGUUCAGUAGCUCAGUCAUGACCAACUCUUUGUGAUCCCAUGGACUGUAGCAUGCCGGGCUUCCCUGUCCAUCACCAACUGCCAGAGCCUGCUCAAACUCAUGCCCAUCGAGUUGGUGAUGCCAUCUAACGAUCUUAUCCUCUGUUGUUCCGUAAUAGAUUAAUUAGUGAACUCAAAAGUUGCAUCAUGGAACAUCCUUAAAGUGACUAGAUAUUGGGUUAAGCAAUCAUUUAUUAGACCAGAUCUCAUCUGACAAACUUUCUAUUUCAGUUUGUUAUUUUAACCACAAGACUUCUAAAUUACUACUUAAUUGUAAUAUGUCAAUGGCCCCAUGGUGCUGUUAUAAUUUUAUGUUAGCAUAUUGGUAGGUUAAAUAAUGUGAUUAUGUGAUAGAUAAGGAAGAAAUUUUUAUAGUCAGUUGUUCAUUGUUUUCUAAGAAACAGAACUACAACAUAUUUAAAAUCCCCCAUUAAUUUAAAAAUAUCAUUAUAUGUCCAUAGAGUGUUCAGAUUUCCUCAAUUGCUUCAUAAUUAUUUUUGAAGAUUGUUCAAAUCAAGAUUCAGCAGAGUUUCUACACUGCAGUUGUUUGACUUGUAUCUUAAGUCCCUUUUGAUCUGUGCACCCACUUGAAUUUGCCUUGGAGAAUUUUCCACAGUCUGGAUUUUGCUCAAUGUAUGCUUGUGUGGUUAUUUAACAUGUUGUUCCCGCCCCUGCCUGACCCCAUAUUCUUUAUUUUUAUCAAAUAAAGGGAUUUAAGACUUUCAAA